RNAcentral lists this ribosomal RNA (1496 nucleotides) under uncultured bacterium. RNAcentral describes it as "16S ribosomal RNA". It matches the Rfam family "Bacterial small subunit ribosomal RNA". The record is from RNAcentral.
AGAGUUUGAUCCUGGCUCAGGACGAACGCUAGCGACGUGCCCAAGAAAUGCAAGUCGAACGGGGGAGUAAUCCCUAGUGGCGAACGGUCGCGUAACACGUGGGCAACCUGCCCUGAAGCGGGGGACAACAGCUCGAAAGGGCUGCUAAUACCGCAUGUGAAGGGGGAUGGCAUCAUCCCUUGUUCAAAGCUUUAUGCACUUCAGGAUGGGCCCGCGGCCUAUCAGCUUGUUGGUGGGGUAACGGCCUACCAAGGCUUCGACGGGUAGCUGGUCUGAGAGGACGAUCAGCCGGAUUGGGACUGAGAUACGGCCCAGACUCCUACGGGGGGCAGCAAUUAGGAAUCUUGCACAAUGGGGGCAACCCUGAUGCAGCGACGUCGCGUGGAGGAUGAAAUCUUUCGGGAUGUAAACUCCUUUUCUCAGGGAGGAAAAAAUGACGGUACCUGAGGAAUAAGCCCCGGCUAACUACGUGCCAGCAGCCGCGGUAAUACGUAGGGGGCGAGCGUUGUCCGAAGUUACUGGGCGUAAAGAGCGCGUAGGCGGGCUCCUAAGUGAGGGGUGAAAGGUUCGGGCUCAACCCGGAGAGUGCCUUUCAUACUGGGAGCCUUGAGUGCGGGAGAGGCAAGUGGAAUGGUCGGUGUAGCGGUGAAAUGCGUAGAUAUCGAUCGGAACACCCGUGGCGAAGGCGGCUUGCUGGCUCGCAACUGACGCUGAGGCGCGAAAGCGUGGGGAGCAAACAGGAUUAGAUACCCUGGUAGUCCACGCCGUAAACGAUGAGUACUAGAUGUCCGGGGUAUCGACCCCCCUGGUGUCGCAGCUAACGCAAUAAGCACUCCGCCUGGGGAGUACGGCCGCAAGGUUGAAACUCAAAGGAAUUGACGGGGGCCCGCACAAGCGGUGGAGCAUGUGCAUUAAUUCGUCACUAACCGAAGAACCUUACCAGGGUUUGACAUCUCUGGACAUGCCAUGAAAGUGGUCCUUCCCCGCAAGGGGACCAGAAGACAGGUGUUGCAUGGUUGUCGUCAGCUCGUGUCGUGAGAUGUUGGGUUAAGUCCCGCAACGAGCGCAACCCUCACCCAAUGUUGCCAGCGUUAAGUCGGGCACUCUUUGGGAACUGCCCAUGUAAGUGGGAGGAAGCUGGGGAUGACGUCAAAUCGGCAUGGCCCUUACAUCCUGGGCUUGACACAUGCUACAAUGGCCGUUAAACAAAGCGAAGCAAGACCGCGAGGUGGAGCCAAUCGCAAAAAUACGGUCUCAGUUCGGAUUGCAGGCUGCAACUCGCCUGCAUGAAGUCGGAAUCGCUAGUAACCGCAGGUCAGCUAAACUGCGGUGAAUACGUUCCCGGGCCUUGUACACACUGCCCGUCAAGUCACCUGAGUUGUCUGCAGCCGAAGCCAGUGGCUCAACCGCAAGGAGGGAGCUGUCUAAGCUGUGGGGAGCGAGGGGGACUAAGUCGUAACAAGGUAGCCCGUAUCGGAAGGUGCGGCUGGAUCACC